Humulus lupulus (European hop) is the source of this 107-nucleotide small nucleolar RNA. The record is from RefSeq and is a predicted model, not a curated record. NCBI's taxonomy places the organism in Eukaryota, Viridiplantae, Streptophyta, Magnoliopsida, Rosales, Cannabaceae.
AUGUUGUGAUGGGGAAAUUUUCUCAUAAACUCCUUGAACCUCUCCCAAGAGUCAUACAAAGAUUCACCAUCUGGUUGAUAGAAACUAAUGAUCUCCCAUCUCAAUUU